RNAcentral lists this ribosomal RNA (1293 nucleotides) under Triticum aestivum (bread wheat). RNAcentral describes it as "partial small subunit ribosomal RNA". The record is from RNAcentral. Lineage: Eukaryota; Viridiplantae; Streptophyta; Magnoliopsida; Poales; Poaceae.
AUGUCUUGUUACCCACAACAUCUGACCGAGCUGGUGUCCACGGAGAUCCUCCUCCGGCUCCCCGUGAAUUCGCUGCUGCGGUUCAGGUGUGUAUGCAAGGCAUGGCGCGACACCAUUGACAACGAUUUCUUUGUCCGCGCACACCUCCGCGCCGCCCAGAACACGUUCACGCUCAUCGCCCCACAUGUUAAGGCAGAUGGCAUGAUCACCGCCGCCGGCUUAUAUAGGUGGGAGCAGGGCGCCAAGGCCGCCGACGACGACGACAGGAACACCGCCGCCGCCGCUGGCGUGUACCCGUGGGAGCAGGACACCGCCACCCUCGUACACCCCAUGGGCGCCGACUACUCCGUCCCGGGCACGACGAAUGUUUCCCACGACCUUGCGCACUGUGACGGGCUGGUGCUGGUGCCUUCCGACGCCAUGGUGCGUGUGCUCAACCCGGCCACAAGGCGUGUCCUCGUGCUUCCCCUGAGGCCUCCUCACGCUGUCAUGUUUGGUUCAACCCCUUUUGGAUUCGAGGGCCAUCAGGCUUUCGGCCUCGGCCAUGACCCUCGCUCCAAAGCUUACAAGGUUGCUCGCUUCUUCUACCGCUCCAUGGAAGGGCCCGUGGGCAACCCUAACCACUACACCCUCGGGAUGGAGGUGCUCACCGUCGGAGCGGCGGACCUGCGUUGGCGAGAGACGGCAGCGCCGCCACCUUACCCUGCCUUGCCAGGCCGAACCGCCACCUUCUUCAAGGACUCGUUGCUUUGGACCGUCGAGGAGUUGCUAUUCCGGGAAGCGCCGGGAUUCAUCCGCUUCAAGUUAGAAGACGAGUCGUUCGCUGUCCUGCCAGGGCCUCCUUGCAGCCCGAGUCUGGACUACGCGGCUGCGAGCUUAGCCGAGCUGCGUGGGGAGCUGUGCGUGUGCGUGGCUCGUCACGAGGCUGACUACGGCCACGGGUGGCACGAGACGUGGAUCUGCCGCGACUUGGACGACGCGCCACCGCCACGAUGGGAGCCACGGCAUGUCGUCGAGAUGAUACCCACUUUUCCACGACUCCGAUGUCUACGUCCAAUUGCUGCUUACACUGACGUGCUAGUGCUCCAUGCCGAACCCUGCUAUCUCUGCCGUGAAACUCAAGAACCUGGGAGGAGCAAGGAUCUUGCUCGGGAAAAAGAAAGGAAUACUCCGCUUCACAUGCAGCUCAAGUUGAGGUAUUACCACCCUGACACGGGCAUGUUUGUUGAAUACCCAGCGGCGACAUGUGCCUUUCAAGUAAUCUCAUACGUUCCAAGUUUAGUUCCCGUGUAG